This 625-nucleotide ribosomal RNA is filed under the name uncultured bacterium. Its description in RNAcentral is "bacterial SSU rRNA". It matches the Rfam family "Bacterial small subunit ribosomal RNA", at positions 230 to 873 of the family's 1533-position model. The record is from RNAcentral.
CCUGCGGCAGAUUAGCUUGUUGGUAAGGUAAUGCCUUACCAAGGCUACGAUCUGUAUCCGACCUGAGAGGGUGGUCGGACACACUGACACUGAAUAACGGGUCAGACUCCUACGGGAGGCAGCAGUCGGGAAUUUUGGGCAAUGGGCGAAAGCCUGACCCAGCAACGCCGCGUGAAGGAUGAAGUAUUUCGGUAUGUAAACUUCGCAAGAAUAGGAAGAAUAAAUGACGGUACUAUUUGUAAGGUCCGGCUAACUACGUGCCAGCAGCCGCGGUAAUACGUAGGGACCAAGCGUUGUUCGGAUUUACUGGGCGUAAAGGGCGCGUAGGCGGCGUGGUAAGUCACUUGUGAAAUCUCUGAGCUCAACUCAGAACGGUCAAGUGAUACUGCUAUGCUAGAGUGUAGGAAGGGCAAUCGGAAUUCUUGGUGUAGCGGUGAAAUGCGUAGAUAUCAAGAGGAAUAUCAGAGGCGAAGGCGGGUUGCUAGACUAACACUGACGCUGAGGCGCGAAAGCUAGGGUAGCAAACGGGAUUAGAUACCCCGGUAGUCCUAGCCCUAAACGAUGAAUGCUUGGUGUCCGGAGUUUUUACUUUGGGUGCCGAAGCUAACGCUUUAAGCAUUCCGCC